This 464-nucleotide small RNA is filed under the name Malus domestica (apple). RNAcentral's name for it is "sRNA MD03G0013500". Lineage: Eukaryota; Viridiplantae; Streptophyta; Magnoliopsida; Rosales; Rosaceae. The record is from RNAcentral.
ACUACUUGGGGUCGAUAUAUAUGAUUCUCCUGCAUGACAAGAGACACAACGGUUAAAGUCUUGAAGAGAGCAUGGCUUAUUGGCACUGCUUGCUAGAAUGCUAGUGUUGCUAGCCUAGGUGGCUGGCUGCUUCCCCUACAGAUUUCAGUAUUGCAACUCUGGAAUUGUAAAGAUAGGAUUAUCUACAGCCAACGAUUUAAACAUGCAUCAAUUAGUUGUUAGUGUAUGGUGCUAUCUGGCAUGAAUAUAAGUCUCCUUUAAUCUGAGAGAUAUGCUUUUGUACAGACAAGGAGGUUGAACAGCGCGCUUGACACUUUUAGCACUUUCGUCUUGCUUGCGUUUGUUGGUAUUCCAGUAAAUGAUAUUACUAGAAUAAGUGGUUGGCCGGUGUGCUACGGAUUUCACAAGAAUGAUAAUUCUUACGUUAAGCACUGCAUACGAGCUGAGCAUCUUGUUAUGCUGAG